AGGUGGUAUGUUAAUAGCAUAUCAUUUGACGUUAGCUGCAGAAGAAGCACCGGCUAACUCCGUGCCAGCAGCCGCGGUAAUACGGAGGGUGCGAGCGUUAAUCGGAAUUACUGGGCGUAAAGCGCAUGCAGGUGGUUUGUUAAGUCAGAUGUGAAAGCCCGGGGCUCAACCUCGGAAUUGCAUUUGAAACUGGCAAACUAGAGUACUGUAGAGGGGGUAGAAUUUCAGGUGUAGCGGUGAAAUGCGUAGAGAUCUGAAGGAAUACCGGUGGCGAAGGCGGCCCCCUGGACAGAUACUGACACUCAGAUGCGAAAGCGUGGGGAGCAAACAGGAUUAGAUACCCUGGUAG
RNAcentral lists this ribosomal RNA (349 nucleotides) under uncultured bacterium. Its description in RNAcentral is "bacterial SSU rRNA". It matches the Rfam family "Bacterial small subunit ribosomal RNA", at positions 445 to 793 of the family's 1533-position model. The record is from RNAcentral.